GGCUGGUACACAGAGCACCCGGACUUGAUAAGCAGUCUGGCUCUGAAUUCAAACUCCCAGCACCCCGGAUGCAAUGGCUCUCCUCCCUGAAUUUCACCCUGGACCACCCCCUGCACAUGAUUCUGAGGUCAGACACGGCGGAGAGGACAGCAUUCCCAAGGGUUCAGCCUUGUCUCUCAAACCCCCAAACUUCUGCAUGUGUGCUACCUGGUGGGGACAGUUAAAUGACACAGCCGACUGCUGUGACGUUAAGACAAAACUCAACACACCUGUUCAUGAGUUAGACUCACCACUGCACACAACUUCAUCUUUGUCAACUAAAACCUGGCCUGAUCCGCAGUGGGUGACCAGGAUGGGAUGCCUGAAUUGCAGCUGGAAACACACACUCUGUGUCCCCUCUGGAGAAAUCGCCCAACCCAAGCACCCUAAAAAGGAUCUAAAUAUAAGAUGGUCUUGUUAUUGUAAAAUGAAGCUGAAGAAAACCAGAAGCAUGUUUAAGGUUUUGAAAAGUCUCAUUAUGUUCAAAAUAGCCUGUGUUUGGUCCUAUAGAGUUUAUGAGCCUGAAAAUAAAGUUACAGGGCAUAAUAUAGAAGAGAUCUAAUCAAUAUCAUAUUCCAGGAAGCUUGGAAAUUGAAGGGAAAUCUCAUGUGUGCUGCUCAGGACUGCCAAAGCCAGGACAGGGCACAUGCAGAGGAAGUCAGAGCUUGUACUCAGCCCAGGUUACCUCAUCCAAGUGGAACACUUCUUCCAGGAGCCUGACUUCCCAGACGUGGACAACUCCUGCCCUACUCCUUCUCAUUUGUGUCCUUAUUUUUUAAUGGCAGGUGGGCUUCCCUGGUGGCUCAGACAGAAAAGCAUCUGCCUGCAAUGAGGGAAACCCAGGUUCGAUCCCUGGGUCAGGAAGAUCCCCUGGAAAAGGGAAUGGCAACCCACUCCAGGACUCUUUUUCUACAGUCCACAGGGUCGCAAAGAGUUGAAUAGGACUGAGUGACUUCACUUCAGACUCCAUGAGAAAUGGCUAGUUCUUUUAUCAUUUGGAAUGGGUUAAUGCAUCUCUAUCCUGUUUAAACAUGAGUAGUUAAUUAAUAUGGGGCUUCCCCCAGUGGCUCAGCAGUAAAGAAUCAGCAAUGCAGGAGAUGCAGGAACCAAGGGUUCAGUUCCUAGGAUGGGAAGAUCCUCUGGAGGAGGGCAUAGCAGCCCACCCCAGGAUUCUUGCCUGGAGAAUCCCAUGGACAGAGGAGCCUGGUGGGCUACAGUCCAUAGGGUUUCAAAGAGUCGGACACGACUGAAGCAACUGAGCACAGCACAGCAUAGCACAGUAAAUUAUUAAGAGAGAUUAUUUUCUGAAGACAAAGGGAGGAGAAAUGUCUCCUUUCCCUUCAUCAUAAAUGAUAACUUGAACCUCUGUAGAUCUGUCCACGUCCAAGCCCACCUCCAUCCCAACUUUUAAAACUUGGGGCUUUGGUGAAAGCCUAGAAGCAAGGUCCAAUGAUCACAGUUCCUAGAAAUAUGACCUUGGACGAGUCACUCCGUAAACCUCACUUUUCUCAACUGAUAGUGGAGACAGGUCUCCAAUCACAUAUUAUUCCCUUGGAGACCCCUGACCCAGCAACCUGAUCAAUGAUGACCUUAGGCCUCUAUUUAAAAAAUUUUUUCUUAAUCUGUUUUCUUUUUAGUCACUUACAGUGUACUGUAUUUCUGUGUGUUGAUUUGUUAAAAACAGAAGAUAAACCCUGGGGAUGCCACAUUCCCAUCUCUGGAAUAAGGCCUAAAUUUGACAAGAGCCAGUUUAAUGGUUGAAUUAUUAUUAGUCAACUGCUGGCCAUAUUUAGAGGAAAGAAAGAGGCUGGGAUAAAUUUAGGGAUGGCAGUGUGUCUGGCUGGAAAUUUUCUUGGGCUCCAAAAUCACUGAGGAUGGUGACUGCAGCCAUGAAAUUAAAAGACACUUGCUCCUUAGAAGAAAAGCUCUGACAAACCUAGACAGCAUAUUAAAAAGCAGAGACAUCAUAUUGCUGGCAAACGUCCAUAUAGUCAAAGCUAUGGUUUUUCCAAUAUGGUUUUCAACUCUUAGGAUGUGAGAGUUGAACUGCAAAGAAGGCUGAGCACCAAAGAACAGAUGCUUUCAAAUUGUGGUGCUGGAGAAGACUCUUGAGAGUUCCCUAGAUUGCAAGGAGAUCACAACAGUCAGUCCCAAGGGAAAUCAACCCUGAAUAUUCAUUGGAAGGACUGAUACUGAAGGUGAAGCUCCCAUACUUUGGCCACCUGAUGCGAAGAGCCUGACUCAUUGGAAAAGACCCUGAUGCUGGGGAAGACUGAAGACAAGAGAAGGGGAUGACAGGGGAUGAGAUGGUUGGAGGGCAUCACCAACUCGAUAGACAUGAGUUUGAGCAAACUCUGGGAGAUAGUGAAGGACAAGGAACCCUGGUGUGCCACAGUUCAUGAGGUUGCAAAGAGACAGACAGGACUUCGUGACCAAACAACAGCAAUGGUCAGAAGAGGAAUAAAAGCUUGCAAUGGACAAGUUUAAGUUUGGCU
This is a long non-coding RNA of Bos indicus x Bos taurus (hybrid cattle), 2534 nucleotides long. Lineage: Eukaryota; Metazoa; Chordata; Mammalia; Artiodactyla; Bovidae. The record is from Ensembl.